Molecule: long non-coding RNA, 4928 nt
Organism: Oreochromis niloticus (Nile tilapia)
Lineage: Eukaryota; Metazoa; Chordata; Actinopteri; Cichliformes; Cichlidae
Source: Ensembl
UGUGAGCCUAUCAAUGUUUAUAAUGCAAAUCUCCUCUUCUGUCUCCAUACAGACCCCAGCCAUGCAGAAGUCAUCGGGAUCUUUGGCAGCAACAUCACCCUUCAAUUUACAUUUAAUGUUAGCAUUACUGAAAACAGUCAAAUUGGAAUUUAUACAACAGGCGAGAAAAAGAUUGAUGAUUUGAAAAAUAGAAAAAGUUCCUUUGAUAUUUACCCCCAAAACAAUUCUAUAUUUUACCACAUCACAAAUCUCACUCUAAACCACACUAACACCUACUGGGCCAGUUUACUUGGUGGCAUCCCAAGAAAAAGUAAUGAAGUGAAGCUGAUUGUUGAAGAAAGGAACAUAAGCUGCACAGCUCCACUGCCGUCGACUAAACCCACAGUUCAUGUCAAUGAAAGUUCCAGUUCCUUUCCCACCAGUAACAUCAUCAUCAUCUUCGCGGUUUUACCUGUGGUUCUGUUAGCAACAGUACUCCCAUGGUUGAUCUGUAGUCUCGUGAGACCCAAAGACAAACAACAACAACAACAAAGCCCGCAAAGCUCCACUCCCACAGUGCAGGUAAGAAAAAUUUUGAUCUGCUGUUAGAGAAAAAAAUAAGCCUGGAAAUUCUUCAGCCUGACUCGAGUUGUCUUCGCAGGAAUCAGUGGCGUCGUCGAGCAGCGUCUCUGCACCCUCGGUGAUCUACAGCGUCUUGGACUUCCCCAAAAGACCUCCAACGGUUGUUGAGAUCAACCCAAGAGAUACAGAGUAUGCUGCUGUCAGCUAUUUCACAGAAAAGAGACACAUGUGAUGCACAGCUCACUGUUUGACUAGUGUACAUAACCUAAAUCUAAAUAUAUUAUAAAUAUAAAUUUCUUGUAAGUGUUAAAAAUCCUGCUUUUGUAAUACUAGGACGUCUUAUUGCACUAUAUCUCAAACAAAAGAGUUGGGAGAGGAAGAGUCUGCAUGGGUAGUGUGUAUGUAGGUGUCACUUUGUGUUUGGUGGUCUCGAAAUUGAGAUGCAUGCUGCUGCUGCGGCAAACCUCAAGCCAGAACAUAAUACAGUUACAGUGACAACCCAGCCUCACAGUUAGCUUUCAAUUUUUCUUCCCUGUUAAUUUGUAUCGGGGGUAUCCGGCCGCUAAGGAAUACUUAACGGGCGAUAAAUGAGAUUUUAGAUUUUCUUCAGACCAGAAACGCAAAGCAAGCACUUCCUGUGUAUCCAGAGUCUACUGUACAUCACUGCUCUGGGUCUCACUGUGUUUAACAGCUUGAGUGAACCACACUGUUGCACUAGGUGACAACACAGGAGAUGUAGUGACCCCUACAAACUUUGCCCCCUCUGUAGAGCACCAGAUUUGGGUUGUUCGACCACUGAAAUAGCCUCACUUCUGUUGACUAAAAACUACACUGAACAUUUCUGAUGCUUUUACUAUUUAAAAAUCUUUAAAAACCUGCCAACUAAGCACAUGAAUUUAGGCUACGUCCACACGUACACGGGUAUUUUUGAAAACGGAGAUUUUCCGUUUUCGUUUUAAAAAAUAAUCCCGUCCACACGUAAACGCAGAAAUGAAGGAAAACGCUGCUAGGAACAUGCCAAAGCGACAGGUGGCGAUAUAUUCCUAACCGUGUAGAAAUGUUGGCCAAUCAGAAGUCUAGAAGCCUCGGUGGGAAAAGAUGGGGCAUAGAAGCAGAACAGAGUUGUAUGUGUGGAGGGACAGUAACUGUGUGUGUAUAUGUAAGCAUUUAAACACUGCAGAGAGUACAGUUAACAGUAUUGUAGAAAUUCAUUUCACCGAAACAAUAACGUGGCGCACAGUGUGACGUCAAAAAAGGCGCACACCUUUGACGCUGUUUUCUCCGUUUUCCUCGUCCACACGUAAAUGCAAAAACGGAGUUUUCGAAAAUAUCCACCCUGGCAGGCGUUUUUAGAAAUCUCCGUUUUCAGUGACCGAAAACGCCGUUUACGUGUGGACGAAAGGUGCAAACGCAUAGAAAAAUCUGCGUUUUCAAAAAUACCCGGGUACGUGUGGACGUAGCCUUAGAGACAGCUUUGCAAAUGUGGAUAUCCAAACCUGUUUGAAUGGGAUAUGUUACUAAAACUCUGCAGCUGACACUGACUAAAGUUAUAAAAGUAUCCAAAAUGACGGAAAUAACUAAAGCAUGGUAUCCUUUGUUAGUUCCUGUAAAAUAGGGAUGCCAAAUUAAUUUUACAUCAUGGGCCACAGACAGCCCACCAGACUUAUAGAAAGUGAAAAGACAGGAAUCAAUUACUAAUAUCUACACUUAAUCACUCUGGUGUGGUAUGAAUGUCCGAUUGUGGACCCCAGACCUUAUGUUUGAUGCCCCUGCUAUAGAACCAUGAAUGACGUUGUAAGUCGAAGCGUUUGAGUAGUGGAGUAUGAAGAAUGGGAGUGUUUCCACUUUAAAAGAAUGCCUAAAUGCACAUGUGGUCGUGAUUACACCUCCGAGUUCACUUGGAGUCUGGUUGAAGGAAGCGCGUGCUGGCACGUGCCGUAGAUGAAGAUCGUGGCACAUGCCAGUAAGCUCAAAUUUCUAAAUUACCAAGUUGAUAAUUCACAGAUGCAAUUUGCACAACGAAACAGCUGCUAGAGGCCAGUUUUAAAAUGGGUCCCAAUAACUGGCUGCACACAGAAAGUAGGGGCUUUUAUUUUGUUCGAGUGGAAAGUUUUGACUGAGAAUGCAUCACCAUGCAAUCCCAGGCUGAAAGGUUUUACACUUUGAUGACAUUUCCAACAUGAAAACCUUCCAUUUUCCGCUUCACCUCAUCUCCAGAAUUCAUCUUCACUCCCAUGCUGAACAUCGUGUGAGAGCUUAACAAGCUCACUUUUGAUUUUCAGGUUUAGUUACUUCUUUUGCAUCAACACGGAGGAAAAAGUUUCAGGGAGACCUUCUAUACGUGCUUAUAGAUCAGUUAUAGACCUUUCAGCUUAUCAGUACUGUAUAUUCAAAGGUCACUGGUGAUUUUUCCAUUAGCUGCUGCGACAGCUCGCCACUAUCAUGCAAAUCUGACAACAACAAUCUGACACUAUGUGCAAUAACUGCAUGCAUGGCCUCUGAAGUUCUCUUUUUGAAUGCUUAUUGAUGUCUUUGAUUUACUCAGUUCUCACACAUCUUUUAUCAUAUGUUAAAAAUGUAUUCUCUGGUUUAUCUUUCUCAGCUACUCAGAGAAAGAGCAAGUUCAUUUUGAAAUCCAGCAAGUUUUCAAAAUGUACCGUCCUGUCACGUGGUACUUUAUUACAUACUGCUGAACUGUUUCUUCUUGAAAUGCACAGUUUUUAAGAUGUAAAUGGAUGUAAAAUGAUCAACUUUAUCGUGUGUGUUUGUAAAUAAUGUCUUCAGUUCCUGAAUGUACUGUACUGGACCUGUGAGUGUCACAGAAGGAACAGAAACUGCUCUUUGUUUUGAUGGCAGCGGUGCAUGAUGGGGGAUGUGUAAAAUAAGUCUUCAGAGUGUUGUUUUGUUUUUAAAAAAAUCACAUAUUUCUGAAUUCUUAUCCUGUAAAAACAUGUCUAGAAUAAAAAUAGUUUACCUGAGAUUUUGGUUUUCUUUAUGUUUUUAGUAACUAAAGUUGAAGCUCAGCACACAGAGUUGUGUAUUUAAAGAAUGCACUGUUUUAUCUUCUAGUCUGUGUUACAGUAGGUCGUGGAGUCUUUGGCAUGUAAAAAUGAAGCAGUAUUUUAGCAUGUUGCAGGGACUUACCCAAGUAAAUCACCUAUAACGCCAACUUUAUUUUUCUGUCAAGACCACGUAAUAAAGCGUGAUCUUAGGUUAUACACAGAUGUGGAUGUUUUUUCACCUUAGAAUAAACUGAAACCUACACCGAAACAUUGCAAAGUGUCUUUUAGUGUGCUAAAAGACUUUCGUUUUUAGUGAUGCCCCGAACAGGCGUACGGCAUCAGCCCUGCAAGGCUUUUGCUACCUGUAUUGGCUGAUUGGAGUAGGAGGCAGAAUGGAAACCACUCAAAUGACUGAUGAGACAAAAAUAAAUUCUUUGGGUAGAACCUGAAGCGCUGCGUCUGGUAAACACCCUUCUGCUUAACCCUGAGAUGACUGAGAUGAAAUAUUAUCUUGACAGCAUCACACUUUUCACGCUUCUCAUCAGCAGGGACAGGGAGACUGGUUAAAGCGCACAGGGAAAUGAAAGCAGCAAAAUACAGAGAGGUGUUUGAAGAAAAGCAGACCGACAUGCAGGUCUGGAGCAGUGUGUCAUAGGUUGCAUAUUCCACUCACACAGAUUGUUCCGAAGCCAAGGGGCCCUGAUGGCAAACACACAGUCAUCUUUGAAUUUAAGCCUCAUUCUUUGGAAGGGCCCCAGCUGAAGAUCUAAGCCUUUGAAGUGACAUAUGGGGGUCUGCAUUUCAGAUAAUGCAGCACAGUGCAGUCUCAUACGAACAAGUAUAAUCAAAUCAUACAAAUCAAUCAUAAGAAGAUCUUAAAAUAAAUUCUAAAAGAUGAGCGAAGCGCAGUCAAUAGAGGUGAUGCGAUGCCAUCUACUGAAACCAGUAUGUGACCAUCAACCAUCAGUAUGUGACUGAAGUGCAGACUUUAUCUUUUAUUUGAUAUUAAGCAUCACGCCCCACCCUCAAUGACUGCCUGAAGUCUGGAGCCCAUGGAUAUCACCAGUUGCUUUGUUUGCUCCUCUGUUAUGCUCCUGCAGCCGCCUUCACGUAGUGCUUGUUUGUGUAUUUAAUAAGUUCAGAUUAGGUGAUUGAUUUAACUGUUUCUUCGCCUGGAGAAACUUUUGGGUUGCUUUUGCAGUUUGCAGCACUUUGGGUGUUUAUCCAUCUGCACUGUUUGUGGCAUCUGGCUGAAUGUGAGCAGAGAGUGUGGCCCUUCUUUUUUAAAGAAUGUUACUAGACUGAUUGUUUGACCAGUCUUCACAAUUUUUGCUGUCUAUCUGAUAGGUUUGGCCUCCUUCGCCC